GACGAACGCUGGCGGCGUGCUUAACACAUGCAAGUCGAACGAUGAAGCCGGAGCUUGCUCUGGUGAAUUAGUGGCGAACGGGUGAGUAACACGUGAGUAACCUGCCCUUGACUCUGGGAUAACUGCGGGAAACUGUAGCUAAUACCGGAUACGACCCUCGGAGGCAUCUCCUGGGGGUGGAAAGAAUUUCGGUCAAGGAUGGACUCGCGGCCUAUCAGCUAGUUGGUGAGGUAAAGGCUCACCAAGGCGACGACGGGUAGCAGGCCUGAGAGGGUGACCGGCCACACUGGGACUGAGACUCGGCCCAGACUCCUACGGGAGGCAGCAGUGGGGAAUAUUGCACAAUGGGCGCAAGCCUGAUGCAGCAACGCCGCGUGAGGGAUGACGGCCUUCGGGUUGUAAACCUCUUUUAGCAGGGAAGAAGCGAAAGUGACGGUACCUGCAGAAAAAGCACCGGCUAACUACGUGCCAGCCGCCGCAGUAA
This 484-nucleotide ribosomal RNA is filed under the name uncultured bacterium. RNAcentral's name for it is "partial 16S ribosomal RNA". It matches the Rfam family "Bacterial small subunit ribosomal RNA", at positions 28 to 523 of the family's 1533-position model. The record is from RNAcentral.